This 237-nucleotide long non-coding RNA is filed under the name Chrysolophus pictus (golden pheasant). RNAcentral describes it as "lncRNA (ENSCPIG00010008675.1)". The record is from RNAcentral. Lineage: Eukaryota; Metazoa; Chordata; Aves; Galliformes; Phasianidae.
UGCGCGCCAGCGAUGACAGCGAUGCUGAGAGCGUGCAGACGGCGCGGGACACGCUGUGCUCCAGGAGAGAGACGGAUGCCUGCUCCAGCGCUGGCUCUGUGCUGAGCCUGGAGCCCACAGAAAGCCUCUGCUCCUGGCCAGGCUCAUCUAUAGGCUGGUCAUCCCCAACCGGUGGCAGUGUGGCUGGGAGCAUCUCGGCACUGUCUGUUGGCAGCCGCAGCACCCAGGGCCUGAGGU